AGUCACUGUCUCAGCAGGGAAACGUGGUAAGGGGGGACGGAGAAACAUUUCUCAAAUCAUGAAAGGUUGUAUGCCUGUCUUCCUCAGCUGACAGAAGACGCUUGACUCUGGUCCUGUGACUGGCUUAAGGGCACCCUGUAGCAUAAAGGUCUGCAAGCACAGCCUGAUCCAAGGAAAUUAAAGAUCACUGAAUCUUCCCUGUGGUAGCUGGGAUAACCUGGACUAAAUGCAGUUACAGUAUUUGUGGAGUCACACAGCUAUGAAGGUAUCUGUGCUUCUUUCUACACUCCUGAGCAAGACAUGAAGUUCAGAGAGAUGUUAGAUAUGCAUGAAACAGCAUCUGAAAAAUUCAGAUGAACAGUGAUCUGCAGAUUUCCAUUUCAAGUAGAAAUCUUCUACUUUUGUGACACUGCAAGGAACACAACUAGACAAUCAUGCAACCUUCAGACAGUUAGCCUUAUGUGGUAGCUGAAUAUACUACAGGGUAAAUGCUAUAGAUUUUCCAUGAAAUGAGUUCCCACAAAACACUUAUUGAGAACUUUUUAUCUUUUGGAGUGUCUCUGCUAAACCAUUUGAUAUUUGACUUACUACAUUACUAUAAAAUCUCUAAUGUUUCUUUUAUUGAUCUGUUAUAAAGAAGUCCCUGUAGGGUGGCUAUAAUCUCUGGAGGAGUACUGAUCACUAACACAAAACCAACACAUCAAACUCUGAUAUCUAUAAAGUCAAAGUUUUGUGUCAAUGCAAAUGAUUAUAAUGGCCCGUCUGUGGUCAGCAAUUCAGGUAUACAAAUGUGCAUACCCUCUUAUGUGAUGUCUAAGGUAAAAUACCAAGAACCCCUUUCUAAUUAAU
Centrocercus urophasianus (Greater sage-grouse) is the source of this 849-nucleotide long non-coding RNA. RefSeq lists it as uncharacterized. Lineage: Eukaryota; Metazoa; Chordata; Aves; Galliformes; Phasianidae. The transcript has 3 exons. The record is from RefSeq and is a predicted model, not a curated record.